Molecule: ribosomal RNA, 253 nt
Filed under: uncultured bacterium
Lineage: Bacteria
Description: partial 16S ribosomal RNA
Rfam family: Bacterial small subunit ribosomal RNA
Source: RNAcentral
UACGUAGGGUGCAAGCGUUAAUCGGAAUUACUGGGUGUAAAGGGUGAGUAGGCGGCACGGCAAGUAAGAUGUGAAAGCCCGAGGCUUAACCUCGGGAUUGCAUUUUAAACUGCUGAGCUAGAGUACAGGAGAGGAAAGCGGAAUUCCUAGUGUAGCGGUGAAAUGCGUAGAUAUUAGGAAGAACACCAGUGGCGAAGGCGGCUUUCUGGACUGAAACUGACGCUGAGGCACGAAAGCGUGGGGAGCGAACAGG